AUGAACGCUGGCGGCGUGCUUUAAACACAUGCAAGUCGAACGAAGCAUUUUAAGACGGAUUCUUUCGGGAUGAAGACUUUUAUGACUGAGUGGCGGACGGGUGAGUAACGCGUGGGUAACCUGCCUUGUACUGGGGGAUAGCAGCUGGAAACGGCUGGUAAUUACCGCAUAAGCGCACGGUGCUGCAUGGCACAGUGUGAAAAACUCCGGUGGUAUAAGAUGGACCCGCGUCUGAUUAGCUAGUUGGUGAGAUAACAGCCCACCAAGGCGACGAUCAGUAGCCGACCUGAGAGGGUGACCGGCCACAUUGGGACUGAGACACGGCCCAGACUCCUACGGGAGGCAGCAGUGGGGAAUAUUGCACAAUGGAGGAAACUCUGAUGCAGCGACGCCGCGUGAGUGAAGAAGUAAUUCGUUAUGUAAAGCUCUAUCAGCAGGGAAGAUAGUGACGGUACCUGACUAAGAAGCUCCGGCUAAAUACGUG
Molecule: ribosomal RNA, 484 nt
Filed under: uncultured bacterium
Lineage: Bacteria
Description: bacterial SSU rRNA
Rfam family: Bacterial small subunit ribosomal RNA
Source: RNAcentral